CGGAGGAUCCAAGCGUUAUCCGGAUUUAUUGGGUUUAAAGGGUGCGUAGGCGGCCUAUUAAGUCAGGGGUGAAAGACGGUGGCUCAACCAUCGCAGUGCCUUUGACACUGAUGGGCUUGAAUGCAGCUGAGGUAGGCGGAAUGUGACAAGUAGCGGUGAAAUGCAUAGAUAUGUCACAGAACACCGAUUGCGAAGGCAGCUUACUAAAGUGCAAUUGACGCUGAGGCACGAAAGCGUGGGGAUCAAACAGGAUUAGAUACCCUGGUAGUCCACGCCCUAAACGAUGAAUACUCGAUGUUAGCGAUAUACAGUUAGCGUCUAAGCGAAAGCGUUAAGUAUUCCACCUGGGGAGUACGCCCGCAAGGGUG
RNAcentral lists this ribosomal RNA (368 nucleotides) under uncultured organism. RNAcentral describes it as "bacterial SSU rRNA". It matches the Rfam family "Bacterial small subunit ribosomal RNA", at positions 526 to 896 of the family's 1533-position model. The record is from RNAcentral.